UGCAGUCGAGCGGAACGAUCCUAGCUUGCUAGGAGGCGUCGAGCGGCGGACGGGUGAGUAAUGCAUAGGAAUCUGCCCGGUAGUGGGGGAUAACUUGAGGAAACUCAGGCUAAUACCGCAUACGUCCUACGGGGGAAAGCAGGGGCUCUUCGGACCUUGCGCUAUCGGAUGAGCUUAUGUCGGAUUAGCUGGUUGGUGAGGUAACGGCUCACCAAGGCGACGAUCCGUAGCUGGUCUGAGAGGAUGAUCAGCCACAUCGGGACUGAGACACGGCCCGAACUCCUACGGGAGGCAGCAGUGGGGAAUAUUGGACAAUGGGGGCAACCCUGAUCCAGCCAUGCCGCGUGUGUGAAGAAGGCCCUCGGGUUGUAAAGCACUUUCAGUGAGGAAGAAGGCUUGUCGGUUAAUACCCGGCAAGGGAGACAUCACUCACAGAAGAAGCACCGGCUAACUCCGUGCCAGCAGCCGCGGUAAUACGGAGGGUGCGAGCGUUAAUCGGAAUUACUGGGCGUAAAGCGUGCGUAGGCGGCUUGAUAAGCCGGUUGUGAAAGCCCCGGGCUCAACCUGGGAACGGCAUCCGGAACUGUCAGGCUAGAGUGCAGGAGAGGAAGGUAGAAUUCCCGGUGUAGCGGUGAAAUGCGUAGAGAUCGGGAGGAAUACCAGUGGCGAAGGCGGCCUUCUGGACUGACACUGACGCUGAGGUACGAAAGCGUGGGUAGCAAACAGGAUUAGAUACCCUGGUAGUCCACGCCGUAACGAUGUCGACUAGCCGUUGGGGUCCUCGAGACCUUUGUGGCGCAGUUAACGCACUAAGUCGACCGCCUGGGGAGUACGGCCGCAAGGUUAAAACUCAAAUGAAUUGACGGGGCCCGCACAAGCGGUGGAGCAUGUGGUUUAAUUCGAUGCAACGCGAGACCUUACCUACCCUGACA
RNAcentral lists this ribosomal RNA (932 nucleotides) under Halomonas caseinilytica. RNAcentral's name for it is "bacterial SSU rRNA". It matches the Rfam family "Bacterial small subunit ribosomal RNA", at positions 56 to 986 of the family's 1533-position model. Lineage: Bacteria; Pseudomonadati; Pseudomonadota; Gammaproteobacteria; Oceanospirillales; Halomonadaceae. The record is from RNAcentral.